GACGAACGCUGGCGGCGUGCCUAAUACAUGCAAGUCGAACGCUGAAGGAGGAGCUUGCUCUUCUGGAUGAGUUGCGAACGGGUGAGUAACGCGUAGGUAACCCGCCUGGUAGCGGGGGAUAACUAUUGGAAACGAUAGCUAAUACCGCAUAACAGUAGAUGUUGCAUGACAUUUGCUUAAAAGGUGCAAUUGCACCACUACCAGAUGGACCUGCGUUGUAUUAGCUAGUUGGUGGGGUAACGGCUCACCAAGGCGACGAUACAUAGCCGACCUGAGAGGGGGAUCGGCCACACUGGGACUGAGACACGGCCCAGACUCCUACGGGAGGCAGCAGUAGGGAAUCUUCGGCAAUGGACGGAAGUCUGACCGAGCAACGCCGCGUGAGUGAAGAAGGUUUUCGGAUCGUAAAGCUCUGUUGUAAGAGAAGAACGAGUGUGAGAGUGGAAAGUUCACACUGUGACGGUAUCUUACCAGAAAGGGACGGCUAACUACGUG
Molecule: ribosomal RNA, 495 nt
Filed under: uncultured bacterium
Lineage: Bacteria
Description: partial 16S ribosomal RNA
Rfam family: Bacterial small subunit ribosomal RNA
Source: RNAcentral